AUGGCCCUCGCCUUCACCUCCUCCGUCCCCUUCCCGGCCGCCGCUGCCCCCGGUCUGCUGCAGCAGCAGCAGCAGCAGGUCCACGUCGUCGGAGGCGGCCGCGUGCUCCUCCUCGGGUCAGCACCGUCGCCGGGCUCGGGCACGUUGGUCCUUGCUGUGUCUGUGCCGGCAGUCGGAGGUGCGAAGGCGCCGGCUCCCCUUCGCUGCGCCUGCGCCGCUGGAGACAAUGCUUCGCCGUCCGACAAGGAGAAGGCCUUUCUGGAGGCCAUGGAGGAAGCGCGCGGCAAGUUCCACGCCGUCAUCAGCGCCGGCGACAAGACCGUCCUGGAGCGCCUCGCCAUCACCGCCAAGGACAGCCUUGGCCUCCUGGCGAGCAUGACGAAGGAUCAUCCCUUCCCGCUCCCCGACGCCAUGUACCAGGAGGUGGCGCGCAUCACUUGGGCGUUCCUGGAGGUAGAGGGCGAGUGCGAGGGCGGCUACGCCAGCGCCGACACCGUGCUGGCCGCCAUCGAUGCCUUGCGCAACAUGUCCGUGACCUUCCUCGGCUCCGGCGUGGAUGACCCGGAGUGGCACCCGGCUUUUCUCGGCGACGUCUCCGACGAGGAAGACAAGGCCAACUACCUGCUCAACCUGGCCAACGGCUUCUGCCUGUUCCACUUUAAGCUGCUGUGUCGUUACCGCCAGGCUUCUCCGGCCAUGGAGGAGGAGGCUCCCGUCGUCGCCUACAAGUACCCGUACCAGGCCAUGCUGGUGCAGAAUGACAAGGAUCUCGCCGAGCACCUCCGCACCACCGCCAAGGACUGCCAAGGAUUCCUCGCAAGAAUGAUGGCCAAAGUUCGCGUCUUGCCUCUCCCCGAUGUCGUCUGCGAGGAGCUCAUUGCCAUCGGCAAGUCCUUUGUCAGGGUCGAGGUCGAAUGCGACAAGGGAUGCGCCACCACCGGCAGCGUCGUGGCUGCGAUGGACGGCCUCACGCGCGUCACCGAGAUCAUCGCCGGCAGUGGCAGGGCGAAAACCCUCAAGCCCUACGACCUGAGGCCCACCGUCGCCAUCACCGGCGACCAAGAGAAGCUGGCCUUCAUGUGGGAUUUGGCCGCCGCAUUCAGCGUCCACUUCUACGACGUCAAGUUCCGUUGCGCUGACUUCUUCUGA
RNAcentral lists this ribosomal RNA (1149 nucleotides) under Triticum aestivum (bread wheat). RNAcentral's name for it is "partial small subunit ribosomal RNA". The record is from RNAcentral. Lineage: Eukaryota; Viridiplantae; Streptophyta; Magnoliopsida; Poales; Poaceae.